AUUGAACGCUGGCGGCAUGCUUUACACAUGCAAGUCGAGCGGCAGCGCGGGCUUCUUCCUUGCGUCGAGUUGCGAACGGGUGAGUGAGUCAUCGGAACGUACCCUGUAUUUGGGGAUAGCCCGGCUAAAGCCGGCUUAAUACCACAUACGACCUUAUGUUGAAAGCGGUGGACCGAAAGUCCUCGCGGUAUUUGAUGUGCCCAUGCCGGAUUAGCUAGUUGGUUUGGUAAGGGCUUACCAAGGCGACGAUCCGUAGCUGGCCUGAGAGGACGACCGGCCACACUGGAACUGAGACACGGCCCAGACUCCUACGGGAGGCAGCAGUGGGGAAUUUUGGACAAUGGGCGCAACCCUGAUCCAGCAAUGCCGCGUGAGGGAUGAAGGUCUUCGGAUUGUAAACCGCUUUUGUUAGGGAAGAAAACAUGUGGGAUAAUACCCCGGGGGGAUGACGGUACCGAAACAAUAAGCACCGGCUAACUACGUG
RNAcentral lists this ribosomal RNA (484 nucleotides) under uncultured bacterium. Its description in RNAcentral is "partial 16S ribosomal RNA". It matches the Rfam family "Bacterial small subunit ribosomal RNA", at positions 30 to 507 of the family's 1533-position model. The record is from RNAcentral.